RNAcentral lists this ribosomal RNA (400 nucleotides) under uncultured Nitrososphaerota archaeon. RNAcentral's name for it is "bacterial SSU rRNA". It matches the Rfam family "Archaeal small subunit ribosomal RNA", at positions 471 to 871 of the family's 1478-position model. The record is from RNAcentral. Lineage: Archaea; Thermoproteati; Nitrososphaerota.
UAAAACCAGCACCUCGAGUGGUCAGGAGGUUUAUUGGGCCUAAAGCAUCCGUAGCCGGUUGCAUAAGUUUUCGGUUAAAUCUAUGCGCUUAACGUAUAGGCCGCCGAAAAUACUGUGCAGCUAGGGAGUGGGAGAGGUACACGGUACUCGAUAGGAAGGGGUAAAAUCCUUUGAUCUAUUGAUGACCACCUGUGGCGAAGGCGGUGUACCAGAACACGUUCGACGGUGAGGGAUGAAAGCUGGGGGAGCAAACCGGAUUAGAUACCCGGGUAGUCCCAGCUGUAAACGAUGCAGACUCGGUGAUGCAUUGGCUUGUGGCCAAUGCAGUGCCGCAGGGAAGCCGUUAAGUCUGCCGCCUGGGAAGUACGUACGCAAGUAUGAAACUUAAAUGAAUUGACGG